RNAcentral lists this ribosomal RNA (253 nucleotides) under uncultured bacterium. RNAcentral's name for it is "partial 16S ribosomal RNA". It matches the Rfam family "Bacterial small subunit ribosomal RNA", at positions 524 to 776 of the family's 1533-position model. The record is from RNAcentral.
UACAGAGGUCUCAAGCGUUGUUCGGAUUCAUUGGGCGUAAAGGGUGCGUAGGUGGCGCGCUAAGUCGGGUGUGAAAUUUCGAGGCUUAACCUCGAAACUGCAUUCGAUACUGGCGUGCUUGAGGACUGGAGAGGAGACUGGAAUUCAUGGUGUAGCAGUGAAAUGCGUAGAGAUCACGAGGAAGACCAGUGGCGAAGGCGGGUCUCUGGACAGUUCCUGACACUGAGGCACGAAGGCCAGGGGAGCAAACGGG